Molecule: long non-coding RNA, 807 nt
Organism: Carassius auratus (goldfish)
Lineage: Eukaryota; Metazoa; Chordata; Actinopteri; Cypriniformes; Cyprinidae
Exons: 4
Source: RefSeq, a predicted model, not a curated record
UCUACAAUCGGCGCGAAACCAAUGCUUUUGCAGGCGCCAUUAUUCACGGAGAUAGUCUCUGUCAAAAUCUCAUUUUAAAGUCGGAUUUAGGAUUUUGAGAAUGGUUCCUACACUUCCUUUGUUAAUUAUUUUUUGUUAAAUGUAACAAACUGUAUCGUUAACGUUGUUGCUGCCUGGCUUGUUUGGCAAAUGAAUGUCGGAGCCGUUGCAUUCAACAUUUUCAGCAUACCGUCACAUCUUAACGUUAAUUUACUCGACGUGGAGGAGCAGGCAGAGCAAUUGUCAAGAAAAGAAGACGCCAUUAACGUUACAACUUUUUAUUUAAAAGAGAUUAUAUGAGCAGAAGAUCUGACAACACGGAGUUCUUCAAGGAUAACGCACCUUUUCUGCCAAACGAGGUCAUAAUUGCUGCUGUACUUUGCAUCCCAAGCCCCCCCUGCAUUCUCAUCACGGAUUGCUGUCACACAAGUUACCAUUUCCUCCCCCGUUGUGGUCGGCCGAGCUACACAUUCUCUUUGUUUUAUUUUAAACAUAAAUAUCCAGAGGAGAAUGGCACCUACGCUGGAAUUCAUUCAAAUGUAAGGAACAUAUCUAAUAAAACUGUCUAUAAAGCAUUUUGUUAUGUUGCCAUUUAGUUGAAAAUAAUAAGGGUUAGUUCACUCAAAAGCAAAAAUUCUGUCAUUAAUUACUCACCCUCUUGUUGUUUCGAACCUGUAAGACCUUCAUUCAUCUUCAGAACACAAAUUAAGAUAUUUUUGAUGGAAUCUGAGAGCUUUCUGACCCUCCAUAGAAAGCAAGUGCCCUACC